UACAUGAAUAUGACUGAAAUUAAUCCAACAACUACCGAGGAUACAGCUCUGUAUUUGAAGACCCAUUGACUGAUUCUUGAGCUGAACUAUGACCCCAUGAUUUCAUAUCUUGAAGGUUUCUGCUAUCCAUAUGAAAUGCAGGUUCCAAAGGCAUUGGGAGAGUAACUGAAUCACUAUUUAGCAUCACUACUACAGUAGCCAUGCUUGGCCUGCUAGCUACAUUCUCUUGAACACAAAGUAAUCCAAUAUGUAUACAUCUCAACAUUUCAUUUCGUGAAUCAUUGUUUAACGUGGGAUCUAUGAUACUUGUUGCAGUUCCCUCCUUCCAAUUCCUCCAUGCCUGCACAAAUUUGUCCAAACGCAAAUAAAAUACUAGGUUAGAUAUAAUACACUUCUACAUGAAAUAUAUGAUGACGAUGACAUAAAAAGUAUGACUUACAAAGCUCGAUAGAUACUCAGUAUUCUCCUCAUCGCGAAUGCCACUGUUUUUUGAACCACUUACGAUUUCAAGAACCAAUAUACCGAAACUGAAUACAUCCGACUUCACUGAAAAUUGUCCGUGCAUAGCAUAUUCAGGUGCCAUAUAUCCACUACAAAACAAUUUGGACAAGUAGCCUCAAUAAAGAAAGUUUUGUUCACAAUCUUGUAUAUAUAUGUUCAAUUAUCUAUCAAUUUGCAUUUGCUAAGCUUUUUGAUAUAAUAUCAAUAACAUCAUAUACUUUUUUUUUGAAUACUUACUAGGUUCCCACAAUUCUUUUUGUGUUUUCCUGUGUUUGGUCCACACCAAAUAGUCUUGCCAUGCCAAAAUCAGAUAUCUUAGGAUUCAUUUCUUCAUCUAAGAGAAUGUUACUUGCUUUGAGAUCACGAUGAAUAAUGCGCAGUCGAGAAUCCUCGUGAAGGUAAAGAAUGCCUCGAGCAAUACCUAAAAUGAUUUUGUAGCGCAUUUCCCAAUUUAAUUGCGCUUUCUUAACUCGAUCUGCAUAUAACAUACCAAUUAAUUUUGAAUAUUGUACAAUAAUUUACGAGCUUAGUAUUUAACCGAACUAAAGUAGUAUAGAUAUUAUACACUUCAAUAGAUAUUAAAACUUACCAAAAAUGAAAUAAUCGAGACUUUUGUUUUGAACAAAUUCAUAUACAAGUACUCUUUCUCUUCCUUCUAGUGAGAAACCGAGUAGUCUAACUAAAUUUCGGUGUUGAAGCUUAGCCACCAAAAGUACCUCAUUCUUAAACUCCGAAUCUCCUUGUCCCGAACUCAUUGACAACCUUUUAACAGCAAUCUCUUGUCCAUUGGAUAGCCUACCCUGAAAAUAUAUAUUAUUUAGGAGUGAUAAGUUUUUCAAAACAAGUAUUAGAGUAUAUCAUAUUUUAAUUAAUGAAGUGAUGUUUAAUAGUGUUAUUUUACUUUGUAAACAACUCCGAAUCCGCCUUCUCCAAGUUGAUUAGAAUGCGAGAAGUCAUUUGUAGCAUUACGUAUGGUGUUGAAGUUGAGUUGUAGUGGCUCAGGACUUUCAAUUUUAUCUUCUUCAUCAUCUUCUUCUUCUUGAAUUUCUACCAUGAAUAGGUAAACAAAUUGUUAUAUGUGAUAUGAAAUACUUAAGUCACGGUAUAUCAAUGUUUCAGCUUAAUCACCUUCAAACGUUUUCUUUGGCUUCCUUAUUCUUAAAUAGAUGCAGAUAAAAAUGAAGACCAUAGCAACAAGAGCAAUUGGAACUCCUACAGCGAUGCCAAUGGUAGCACCAUUGUUGCUUUUUCCUGCACAAACCAAAUCUCUCCUUGUGUGAUAUUUCAUAUGUACCAAGAUAAUAAAAUACUAUUAACAAUUUCAAUAAGGUUGUUUAAUUAUGGAGUAAUGACAAGUUGACGACUAAAAUGUUGUCCAACACCGUAUAUUUAUACAGAUUAGGUGUCAUUUGGAUUUUUAUUGCUUUUUUCUCUCUUCUCUAGUCAUAUCAUUACUGAUAAAUUAUAUAUUUUUAUACGAUUUUCAAAUUUGUUGUUGAUUUUUAGAUGUUGAAAUAACAUUGUUUUAUUUAAGAAUAGUGAUGCACUAAUGUUCUUUGAAUAUAAAAAAGUUGAUAUUAUACAAAUAUACAUCAUUUAUAAUUAUAGAUGUGACUUUGAAAGAAAAAAAAAAAAAACAAUAAAAACUAAAUUUGUACAAAUUUGGUGUAAUUAUUGUCAAAGUAACAUUUCUCAUAGUGAUUUUUUAUUUUAUUUUUUACAACUUUUGUCACAGUGAUUCUGUUUGGUACAACAUUUCUCAUAGUGAUAAAAUAACUAAAUGAGUUAAGGAUUCAAAUUCUUCAACUUUGAUAAAGUAACAUUUACUGCUUGUUUAAUUUUUUUUAGUUAUGAAUCUAUGCACUCAAGAAGUUGAGCAAAAAUUUAAAGACAUCCCCUAAAACAGUUAACGCAUUUGGACCACAAAAAUCAUUAUAUUCUUCCUUAACAUGAAUGAAUUGUAGGCAACCUAUACCACAUAAUUUGCUCGUGAUUUUGCUUUUGAAAAAGCAGCAUUUCAUUGAAAACCUUGGAAGCAUUUGCAUAACCAAUAGAGAAAAUAUCAUCCCCUCAUCAUUUAUCCAUAAAUAAAUAUUUCAAUAAAAGACAUUUUUCAAAACAUAACAAAUUAAAUUUUUAGACAUCUAUAAACUUCCUUAAGAGAAUAUAUGUAACAAACAAGUACCUUGUGAUAAAGUAGUACCAUUCGUAGUGGCUGGUGGAGGAGGUGAUGAUGGCGGCGGUGGCGGCGAUGCUCUAGGCUCAUAAAAAAGGUAAGAAGUUUCAAAUCUCAUGUUACAACUAGGCCUAACAACUCUUCCACCAAUCUUAUUAUUACAACAACUAGGAAUUUGUUGAAGAUUCUCAACCAAACAUGAAUUACAAUCAGUUUCAGACAAAUCAGGUGUACAUUGAACCAAACCAUAUAUAACUUCAUACUGAGGACCAGGUUGACUACCUGCAGCAUAUUUAAUCAUAGAAUCACCUUUCACAGCUCUACUUGUUAAAUUAUUUAACAAAGUAGUAACAACUUCAUUAGACAAAUCAACAUCACUUGAAUUAUUUUCAUUUUUUGAAGAAAACAUAGGAACAUCUUCCAUUACUCCUAAUAUCAAUCGGUCCGAAUAACGUAACAUGCAUUUUUCAUCUUCUGACCAAAAAAUAGCCUCUUUUCGAUUUGGACAAUUACGUGUGAGAUUUGUUCUGGCGCUACUGAGGCAACUGCGGCAACUAUUUGGCAUAAUAUCCCCUCGGCAUAGUCCGAUCGCGUAGACUUUGUCGCUGUUUUCGCCAUGUGAAAAAUUGUAGAAACCGUAGUUGAUUUCUGUGUUGGAAGUGAGAGUUGAUAAAAGUGUGUUGAGGUUUUUGUCAUAGGUGCUAUUUGUUGUGUAGUUACCUCUAUUGUUGUCUUGAUCACAAACGUAGUGGUAUAAAUUGAUUUCAUCGUAUACAACAUCAGCUUUGGUUUGAGAAGUGAAAAUUAUGAUUAGGAGAGAGCAAAGUAAGGAAGGAAUAGCCAUAUUGAUUGUCCUAAUAUUGAAGUUUUUUUUUGUUCAAGAUUGGAAGAUUUGGAUAGGUUCUUUGUGGCGUUAGGUGUGUAUAAGUGAAGGAUUGAAGGCAAAUAACUAAAGUCACCUAUCUUGAAUUGAAUAUUAUUUCAUUCCAUAAAAAGCACAUUUGUUUUCUUAUAUAUGCAGAAAACAAAUUAUAUUUCCUUUUCUUAUUAUUUCCUUUUGGAGACACGGUGAUUCAUAGUUCUAUGCUAGAAGAAGUUUCUUUGGUUGAAUAACUAUUUUCUUGACUUUUCUGCAUUAGAUUAUUCAUUAGAAAGAUACAAGACACCUGAGACAAAAAUUGGUCCACAAUACACACACUGUAUCUGAAAGUUCCACGGCACUUUCAAACCGGCGAUUAAGUGUAGGAUUACCAAUCAAAACAUAGACAAUUCAAUUAUAAAAUCCUUAGUUAUUUACCAGUCAAAACAUAGACUAUUUAAUUAUAAAAUCCUUAGUUAGGUAUUUUGUCUUACUAGAAUACGAGUCAAUACCUCUCAAGUAAAAUAAUACGAGUCAAUAGUUUAAAUUAUUUUGUUUGACCAAGCACUCUCUCCUCAUACAUUAAUGGAUGGAUCAUACAACAAGAUCAUUUUGACCUCCAUCUCUUUUUUUACUUUAUGUUGGAACCGAGAAAUUUGGAUUUAGGCCAAUUUGGGCGAUGUAGUUAAAAUCAAGAAGAGCUUAUUUUUCCAAUCUACAUGGAGGGGGAUGAUCAAUUAUCUCUAAGAGAGGAAGACCCUACGUGUACCUUUCCGUGUGAUCAGUAGGUGCAACUCGACAUCUGAUAGGUAGUAAAAUCCCAUGAAUUCAUCACUUAGAUAGAUAACGAUAAAUAGCAUGAAUAAGAAUUGACUGUUAAGUAAACCCAACAACUAAAUAGAGGGGAUUCGAAGAAUCAUAACCGCCGCUAACAUUCUGCAAUUAAAACAGCUAAACUUUGCUAUGUUUCAAAUAGAUUAAAUUGCAAAACUCUAAACCCUUCAUCUUUAUUUAUUUUAUUGCUCCCAAAUAAGUAUCGUGAAUUGUUUGGUUGACAGCUGUCAAAAUGGGCCGGGCCUUAAUUACGGGCCGACCCGAAAGCCCGAAUAAAAUGCAGGGCCUGGGCCGAUAAAUAGAAGCCCAAAUUUUUUCAGAGCUUUUUAGCCCGGCCCGAAAAAGCCCGAAGCCCGUUUGGGCUAAGGGCAGCCCGAAAAAAAAAAAGCGUUAUUUUUUACACUGGGCAUACAUUGUAAUCAAGGAGCUUUGGACAUACGUAUCUAAUUCAAAUCCUGCCACAACUAUGUGUACAUGGAUUGGCAUUCCAUGCUUCAAAAGAUAAUCAAGAGACAUUAAGUGCCAAGAAGAUUGACAACAGUAAUGUAGUUCGAAAGCAAACCUUCUCUUCUCAUUAAGUUGAAUGCUUGAAUUGUGGCAUUUGGAUCUUUGUCAUCAGCAUGACCACCUAUCAGUGCAUUCCAUGUUAGCCCGUAAGCCCGGGAGUCCGUAAAGGGCCGGACUCGGGCUCUAUUUUUCCAGCCCAUAUUCAAACCGGACUUUUUAGCCUGGGCCGCCCGUUUUGACAGCUUAAGAAACCCCUCUCAAGCCAAGGAGUGGACAUCUACACAUGAUACGAGUGUUUACAAAUCUUGAAUAAAUUUUGAUACCAUGGAGUAAUGAAGACCAAUAUACUUCAGUAAUGUGAUAACAAUAUAAGAGCUACUAAAUUUAAAUAGAUAAUAUUCUUAAGCUAAUGACAUUAUUUAACCAACCUUAAGCCAAAACAAAACAAAAAAAAGCUAUUUACAAUAGUCUAGUAUUUACAACACUAAUGUUACGACAUUCUCAUGAUUAAAAUUACAACUAGCGAGGAAAAGGCUCUGUAUUUGAAGCUCCAUUGACCGAUUCCUUCGCUGAACUAUCACUUAAUGAUUUCAGAUCUUCAAAAGGCAUUGGAAGAGUAACAGAGUCGCUAUUAAGCAUCACUACAAUAGAAGCCAUGGUUGGUCUAUUUACUAUAUUCUCUUGAACACAAAGUAAUCCAAUAUGGAUACAUCUUAGUAUUUCAUUUCGUGAAUCAUUGUUUAAUGUCGAGUCUAUGAUAUUUGUUGCAGUCCCCUCUCUCCAAUUUCUCCAUGCCUACACAAAUUUAUCCAGAUGCAUAUAUCAUUCUAUGUUAGAUAUAAUUCCACUUCUAAACUAGUUUAAAUUAAAACAAAAAACUUAUAAAAUGAAAGAUAUGAUGCAAAAAAAAUUAUGACUUACAAAGCUUGAGAGAUAUUCUGUAUUCUCCCCAUCACGAAUGCUACUAUUUUUAGCACCACUUACAAUUUCAAGAACCAAUAUACCAAAACUGAAGACAUCUGAUUUUACCGAAAAUUGUCCGUGCAUUACAUACUCAGGUGCCAUAUAUCCGCUACAAAACAAUGAGGAUGGUUAAGCAAAAUGUUUUCAAUUAUCUUCAACUUUCUAUUUAUUUACAUAAACUAAGCCUCCUGAUUAAAAUAAAAAACAACCAAUACUUUUUUUGAAUGCUUACUAAGUUCCCACAAUUCUAUUUGUGUUUUCCUGGGUUUGGUCAACACCAAAAAGUCUUGCCAUGCCAAAAUCAGCUAUCUUAGGAUUCAUAUGUUCAUCCAAGAGAAUAUUACUUGCUUUGAGAUCUCUAUGAAUAACACGAAAUCGAGAAUCCUGGUGAAGGUAUAGAAUGCCUCGAGCAAUACCUAAAAUGAUUAGGUAGCGCUUUCCCCAAUUUAAUUGCGCUCUCUUUGCUUGAUCUGCAUUUGACAUACCCAGCUACUUUGAAUCUUAUAACAAUGUAAUAAAUAAGCUUAGUGAUCAACCAUAACUAUAGUAAUAAAUAUAACAAAACCUACCAAAAAUAAAGUAAUCAAGACUUUUAUUACAAACAAACUCAUAUACAAGAAGUCUUUCUCUUCCUUCUAGGCAAAAACCGAGUAAUCUAACUAGAUUUCUGUGUUGAAGUUUAGCAACUAAAAACACUUCAUUCUUAAACUCUGAAUCUCCUUGUCCAGAAUUCAUUGAUAACCUUUUGACAGCAACCUCUUGUCCAUUGAAGAGCCUACCCUGAAAAUAAAUAAUAUAUUUAAUAACGAUAAGUUUUUAUAACAAUCAUAAGAGUAUAUCAUAUUUUAAUUAAUAAAGCAGUGUUUAAUGGCGUUAUUUUACUUUGUAAACAGCCCCAAAUCCGCCUUUUCCAAGUUUAUCAGAAUCUGAGAAAUCAUUUGUAGCAAUACGUAUGGUGUUGAAGUCUAAUUGCAGUUGCUCGGUAGUAAUAUCAAUUAUGUCAUCUUCUUCUUCUUCUUGAACUUCUGCAACAAAAGGGUAAAAGAAGUUCGUCAUACGUGAUACAAGACCAUUAAAUUACCAUUUUAAUCAACAAAAUUUUGUUACAGGGAGUAUAAGUCUCUAAUCCUUACAAAAAAAAAUAAAAAAUGGCAUCACAAAUAAAUAAAUACGUAUCAAAAGUUAGAAGGUGGAACCUAUAUACACUACUCCAAAAAACACAUUUAACUCAUCUAUCGCUACAACCGAAUAAAAAGAGUGUUUUAAUUCGCAUCUUACAUUAGUUAUAUGUAGGGGCCGGGCUUCAAACCCUGAACACCCUACUUAAAAGGUAUGAACUCUAGCCAUUAGACUACUGGACCGAGAAAAAAAAAAUAUGAAACAAUACCUUUCAGAAAGCUAAUGCUAGAAAAACAUGAGCAAUAAGCUUGCAGCGGGGGUUGUGUGCGAGCAGUUUUGUUUAUGUUGUUGUGCGGAGGUUUGUCUUUAAUUGUUGUGUUAGCUUUGUUUUUGGUGUUUUCUUUUAUUGAUUUCGAAGAUAACCCUUUGUUAGGAUGUGUUUCUUAUAAGUUUUUUGGAUUUUGUCUUUGAUGCACGGAUGUAUGGGUUUUCCAUUGGGGGCUCCCCAUCUAUCCUUUAUAUGUUGCUACAUUAAGACUCAUAGCCUAACACUCCUUGUGCUAGUUAGAAUUCAUUGUGAUUUUAAUAAAUUCUAUUUUAACAAAAAUAAAAAGGCAAUAAGCUUGCUUUGAAUUACUGAAAGAGGAUUUAUUAACAUUAUCUAUGUGCAAUUGGAAAAGUUUCAAGUCUCACUCAGAUCCAAAAUCUUAAACUAAUGGCUUAAAUGCAAUUUUACCCCCCUAUUUUGAUUGAAUCUGAAUUUUAUCCUCCCUAUUUUAAAACUCGGAAUUUUACCCCCUCUAUUUUGAUUGAAUCGGGAUUUUGCCCCCGUUAUUUUAAAACUCGGAAUUUUACCCCCUAUUUUAAAAUAAAGAACCAAAAAAUACUAGAAAAAUAAAGAAAAGAUUAAAAAAUAUUAAUUUGGUAAAAAAAUAUAAGGAAAACAAGAAAACAAAAACAAAAAAAUAGAAAAACAAUGAAAUUACAAGAAAAAAUUCAAUUAAGAAUACAUGAAAAAACUAGUUUGCACCUCUAAAUAUUUGCUAUUUUCAUGUAUUCCAUACUAGUUUUUUAUUUUAUUUUUAGAGAUCAUACUAGUUUUAUGCAUUUUUCUAGUAUUUUUUAUUAAUUUUUUUUAGUAUUUUUUUGGUUUUAUUUUUAUUUUUUCAUUAAAAAACAUUUAAUACAAAUAAUUAAUUAUGUGGAUAAAAUAGGGGGAGGGGAAAAAUCCUGAAAAACAUAAAAUAGGGGGGGUAAAGUUCCGAGUUUUAAAAUAGGGGAGGCAAAAUCCAGAAUCAAUAAAAAUAGAGGGGGUAAAAUUCCGAGUUUUAAAAUAGGGGGGCAAAAUUCAAAAUCAAUCAAAAUAGGGGGGGUAAAACUGCACUUAAGCCUAAACUAAUAGAAGGAUUAUAAAGAUAUAUUAUCUACUUUUUUUCUCAUAAAAUUGCAUUAUAAUAGUGAAGCUAUAUCAAUGUUUCAAAUGAAUUAAUUAAUUACCUUCACACGUUUUCUUUGGCUUUCUUAGUCUUAAAUAGAUGCAGAUAAAAAUGAAGACCAUAACAACAAUAGCAAUUGGUACCCCUAGAGCGAUACCUAUGGUAGUACUGUUGUUGCUUUUUCCUGCACAAGCAAAGAAACUUUCCUUUAACAAAAACAAUUAACAACUAACAAAAUUUAUUUCCUCAAAAAACCUAACAAAAUUAAUUGUUUUUUUCAUUUUUUUUUAAUAUUCGUUGUUCAAAAUAAAUAACUAUACUCACUAAGAGAAAAUUUAAUGUAUCAAGGAUAGUCAAGCACGGAAAUUGAUCAUGUGACAUGAGGAAACAUUAAAAUAUCAUCCAUUAAAAAAAUGAGAGAAAGAUGAUUUAGGCAGAGAAAAGAGUUUUAAGAGUUUUUGUAAAACACGGAGAAAGACCACCAUAAUUUUUUUUUUGGGAGACCACCAUAAACUUGAUUUUGAAAUCUUUUUAACAAAUAUAAUGCUUUUUUUUUUUACAAACAAAUAUAAUGUUUGUUUGUUUAAGAUUAUCAAAAAAUUAUUUUUUAUGUUUUAGUUAUGUUUGUGUGUAACUUUUUAAAAAAUUAUUAUGUUUCAAAUAAAUAAUUGUGUUGAUAAUGAAAAGGUAUUUCCAUUAGCUUUUAGAAGAAAACCAUUAUAAACAUAACAUAGACUUUUAUUGUAUAUAAUUUUUUUUAUCAAGUACAAGUAGUCUAUCGGUUAAAAAUUCACGAUGAAUUUUUGUAUAAAUGGGGUGUCGAGGUUCGAACUCCGACCAUUGUAUAUGACAAUGCAUUGUUCAUACCAUUUGAGUUAAGCUCACGAGAAAUUUUUGUAUAUAAUUUUAAACAAACACAAAAUCACAUAUUUUUCUUAAAAAUCUUUAAACAAAAUACUCUAACUAAUUUACAUCAAAAUUAUUUUAAAACUUAAAGAAACGGUCAAUGCUGUAAGUAAAACUUUCUAUGAUCUUUUCAUAAGUUUAAUAUGGUAAAUACCUGGAGAGGAAGUAGUGUUUUCUGCAAAUGGAGGAGGAGCUGAGAAUGAUGGCACUGAUGCUGGUGAAGGUGUUGGUGAUGGUGAUGAUGACGAUGAUGAAGGUGAAUCUUGAGUUUGUUGAUAGAAAAGUGAAUUGGUUUCAUAUCUCAAAUAACAACUGGGUCUAAGAAAUCUACCACCUAUACCUAUUCUAUUGUCACAACAAUUUGGGAUUUCUUUGAUAGAUUUAUCCAAACAUUCAUCACACAAUGUUUCAGACAAAUCAGGUGUGCAUUGAACAAGAGCAAAUAUGGUUUGAUUAUUAUUUGGACCAAUCACAUCACUUCCUACAGCAUAUUUAAGGUCACUUUCCCCCGAUGCAGCUAAAUUUUUUAAAUUAUACAACAAAUUUUUCAGCCCUUUAUCAAAUUCAUCUUCGACUUCCUUUGUUGCGUUCUGCAAAUUCCAUGCAAUCAUGGCAGGUCCCAUUUCAUUGAUACCAAAUAUUAAACGGUGUGAGGAACGCAACAUGCAUUUUUCAUCGUCGUACCAUCCAAUUGCUUCUUUUCGAUUUUGACAAAGUUGUGUUAGAAGGGCAGUUGAAUUUUGGAGGCAAUUUUGACAAUCAUCGGGUUUGACAUCUCCUCUACACAGUCCAAUAGCGUUUACUUUGUCGGUGUUUACGCCAUAAGAGGAAUUAUAGAAACCGUAGUUAAUAUCUUUGUUGGAAGUGAGAGUGGAUAGAAGGGUUUUGAGGUUUGUGUGGUAGGUGCUGUUGGUUGUGUAGUUACCAUCAUCGUUACCUUGAUCACAAAUGUAUCGGAAUUUUCCUGUAGCGUCAGUGGUAGCUGUGCUGAUUUGAGAUGUGAAAAUGAAUGUGAGAAGGAGAGAACAAAGAAAUGAAGACAUUGUAUAACAAAUAACACACAACAAUUAUGGAUGUUUCAAGCUUUAAAAUGUGGAAUGAGGUUGUUUUUUUUUUUUUUUUUUUAUUAAAGUAGAAUGAGCUUUCAUUGAGAAAGAAUUUGGCCGGCUAUAGAUUCGGAUGUUGCUUUUAAAACAGUAUUUGAAACAAAACUUAACUAAUGGGAUUUUUUAUUUUUAUUUUUAAAAAAAAUCUUGUAAUAUUUGGAAGGUUUUUAGUAAGUACAAAACAAAAAUUCAAGUGAACCCUGAUUGCAAGGAUAAUGUAUAAUAUAUACAAGGUUCGAGAUUCAAAUCUCGAUCACCACAAAAACAAUUAAUUAAAGUUACACUAAUUGUCAUUUUACGACGAGGAUUUAAACUUAGUUCUUUGAGAAUAAAAUAGUAUUUUUUUUAUUGUUGUCAUUUACCAAUUAAUCAUCAUUCCUAAGAUUAGAAAGAAAAAUUAAAGUUUUGUGAUAAUAAAUCAAUUGAUAGGGAUAAUAUUAUAUGAAAUAUAUAUGCAUGUCGGGUUUGAAUAUUAAAUUCUUCAAGCAUUAACAUUCUUUUAAGAAAAUGCUUAUAACAUUUCAUUAAUAAUAACAGGUUCAAUACAUUUGGGUAUAUUAAAAUAAACAAAGAGACUAGCUAGUAACGUGACUUCUUCUGCAAGUGUGCAUGAGCAACCAUGUUGGUUUGUCUUCUAACAAAAUUCAUCCUAGAGUUAGUAAAAAAAGAGUUGAAUAAGGAACGACAUGAAGUAAUAAUACACCCAAAUUCAGAAGUGUCGUCCCGAGUAGCACAGAAAGCAUCACACGUCAAUUUGGAAUCCGUUUCAAAACAUUAUCAAAUUACAUAUCGCUUGACGACCGCAAAGCAUAGUGUAAUCGCAAAGCUUCAUCAACAUCAACUAAAUAAAGACAUUGGUAACUAGCAACAUUGGGCAAAAUAAAAGUACCUUCAGAGUCCCGAACAUAAAUACCAAUGCCGAUGCAGUUGAAAUGAGAAAGAAAUGCAGCAUCAAAUUACACUUAUAGCUACCCGCAUCAUUUGACCAAAAAAAAAUACACCCUCCAUCACUAUUAUAAGCAAAAAUUUACAUCUUAGAUUCAUUCAUUUAAUGAUGCACAUGAUCUUUAUUAUAGACCACAUACAUUAUUAAAUAAAUGAACCUAAAAUAUAAAUUUUUGCUUAUAUUAGUAACCGGAGGAUGUAGAAGCAACUUAGCAUAGUUGACCCAUUCACUAAGACCGAAAUAAGCAGGUACAAACAUUUUGGAAAUAGUUAAAUGAGCAGGUACAAACAUUUUGACCCAUUCAAAAAGCAAGUCUUGGUCAACUAUUCGUGUUAAUUUUAGUACUAAUAGUUAAUCUUUGGCAAUUUGAUCCCUUAAAUAAUUUUUAGGUUUCAUUUUGGUCUCCUAAUUAUUAAAAGUUACGUUUUGGUCCCUCAAAUAUGCUUAUGUCAGCUAAUUUGGUUCCUCUCCAGUAAUUUUAACUCAAAAUGUCUAAGGUGGACCAACAUUAUAGUGAUCCACGGUAGACCUUCUUAAUUUAUUUAAUUUUACAUUUUAAAACAAAAUAAACUAUUGGAUCAUUAAAAACCAUUGAAUCUAAUAAUGAACCACGAACACAUGAUUUUUCUUUCUUUUUCUUCAUAUUCUUCCUUUUCUUUUGUUAUAAGAAUAGUUAAUCAAUAUAGUUAAAUAAUUUUUUUAUCUUUACUAGUAAAAAUGGCUUUAAUUUUUAAGAGUGAAUAGGUUAAUUUGUCCUCGAAUUUUCCAUCAUCAUUCAAUUUCGUCUUUAAAUUUUUUGAAAUAGCUAAAUCGUACGUCUUCAAUUUGCUUCAUGCCUAUCAAUUAAGUUUUUCUAUCAUGUUCACACGUUUCGACGUGCUGACGUGCACUGUUAAAUAUUGAUGCGGCCGUCCACACCACCUUCUACAUAUGUGGGCACCAAUUUGAUAGUCAAAUUUGACAUCAUCCUAAAUUCAUAAAAUUCUUCCAAAAAUUCAUAACUUCAUUAAAAAUUAUAGAAAUUCAUCAAAAUUUCAUCUUACUCGUUUUUUUUUUUCUCGCAUCAAUCAACCUAACUAACCACUCCAAAAUGAGAUUUCCCAAAAUGAGAGAGAAAAUCAUAUUUGAAAAAGUUGUAUUCAUCUCUUCUUCUUGAUGUUCUUGUUGAAAAACUUUGAAUUUCUUCUCCUUCCUUGGCUUGUUGUAUUGGUUUAGAUCUUAUGACAAUACAACAUUUUCAGGGAAUUGUUACAGCAAAACACUAUCAACAGAAACUGUAUCUUGAUCUUCAAAGCCUGGUCUGAACACAAAAUCAUAAGACUCACACAUCAACCUCACUGUUUCAAUUCAACAAAGAAUCAUCACCUUCAAAUCCAUCUAAAGUGCUCAUAAUAAGAGCCUUAUCCUCCUUUUUAAGAACCCUCGUUACCCAAAUCAUGAACAAUGGAAUUCAAAACCUUAACAUUGAUAGACAUAGAAGUAGAACCAGUAACAACAACAACAACAGUAGCAUCAAAGGGGUUAAAAAAAGCAACCAGUUCUAACGGACAACAUACAAAAAGAAAAUAAAAACCACUAUUUAAUUACAAUCUGGUCUGGUAUUUACAACACUAUGAAAUAUAUAUGUAUUAUGGGUAUCACGGUCAUUCCAAUGGUUAAAAUUCCAGCUAGCAAGGAAAUAGCUCUGUGUUUGAGGCCCCGUUGACCGAUAAUUCUUGAGCUGAGCUUGGCGGGUUCGUAUCUUGAAAGUCACUCCAAUCCAUAUGAAAUGCAGGUUCCAAAGGCAUUGGGAGAGUAACAGAAUCACUAUUAAGCAUCACUACAACAGAAGCCAUGCUUGGCCUGCUAGCUACAUUCUCUUGAACACAAAGUAAUCCAAUAUGAAUACAUCUAAAAAUUUCAUUUCGUGAAUCAUUG
This 13270-nucleotide long non-coding RNA is filed under the name Medicago truncatula (barrel medic). RNAcentral's name for it is "long non-coding RNA (MTRU_LNC008306)". The record is from RNAcentral. Lineage: Eukaryota; Viridiplantae; Streptophyta; Magnoliopsida; Fabales; Fabaceae.